AUGCCUGAACUGAAGACAGUAUAUCGGUACGGACUUACCACCUUGAACUCCUUUGAGACAACACACAAAGAGAGCGGCACACUCGCAGUAGUUUUCCAGUGUAGAUUGGAACCUCUUCAAGGUGAUGCCUGUGAAUCCUUGGCUCUACUGAAACUCACAUCAAGAGUUCACCAAGCUCCUCACUAGAGCCAGGACUUCAGCCAGCCAUCCUGCCUCACUGCAAAGCUCUGUAAUUGAAAGAUAAAUGAUUUAACUAGUAGGAGAACACCUUUAGAGCUUUCUGAUGUUGAUUCAUGCUCAGCUUAAGCCUGAAUGCGCAAUAUCAUUACUGAAAGGGGUCUUCUGCCCUUCCUCCUCUGCUAUCUGCACAUUUCUGCCCUUGGAAAAUAGGCUGAAGCACGCACACAGGUGAAUGAUAAACCAGGCUGAGGAAAUGAUCCAGCUGAAAAAUAGCUCAGCAAAAAGAAAGGCUGUUUUGACCAAGGUGUCUGCUUCUGUCAGUUGAGAGAGGGGAUUAAGCUGGAAUGGGAAACAAGUGGCACCAUAGCAGAUAGUGGCAACACCAGCUUCUGCAGAUUGUGAAAUUGCAGUGCUGUUUCCUAUCUCAUAAAUUAUUUCCUCUGCCCUUUACUUCUCUGUUUACUUCAUGAUCCAAUAGGUCCCUCCUCCAGUGUUUCUGUCUGUAAAAAUGACAAGCAAGUGAGAAAACAGAUAAGAAAAUAAUCAACCUGUGAGCUUCAUUAUGUUUGUAUUCCUCAGCAACUGACUGUUCUUACAGCUUUUCAUACUUUUGAACCUCUUCCUGAUGAGAUACAAUGCUAGAGCACACAGGAAAAUAAAUAAGUGAUUUUUUCUGUCUUGCCA
RNAcentral lists this long non-coding RNA (864 nucleotides) under Struthio camelus australis. RNAcentral's name for it is "lncRNA (ENSSCUG00000018163.1)". The record is from RNAcentral. Lineage: Eukaryota; Metazoa; Chordata; Aves; Struthioniformes; Struthionidae.